This 527-nucleotide ribosomal RNA is filed under the name uncultured bacterium. Its description in RNAcentral is "bacterial SSU rRNA". It matches the Rfam family "Bacterial small subunit ribosomal RNA", at positions 8 to 526 of the family's 1533-position model. The record is from RNAcentral.
AGAGUUUGAUCCUGGCUCAGGAUGAACGCUAGCGGCAGGCUUAAUACAUGCAAGUCGUGGGGCAGCAGGGGUGUAGCAAUACACUCGCUGGCGACCGGCAAACGGGUGCGGAACACGUACGCAAUCUACCCAAAACUGGUGAAUAGCCCUCCGAAAGGAGGAUUAAUACACCGUAACCUAUUGAAGUGGCAUCACUUUAUUAGUAUAGCUCCGGCGGUUUUGGAUGAGCGUGCGGCUGAUUAGGUAGUUGGCGGGGUAACGGCCCACCAAGCCUGCGAUCAGUAACUGGUGUGAGAGCACGACCGGUCACACGGGCACUGAGACACGGGCCCGACUCCUACGGGAGGCAGCAGUAAGGAAUAUUGGUCAAUGGACGCAAGUCUGAACCAGCCAUGCCGCGUGGAGGAUGAAGGCCCUCUGGGUUGUAAACUUCUUUUAUAGGGGACGAAACCCUGGUAUUCUUACCAGAUUGACGGUACCCUAGGAAUAAGCACCGGCUAACUCCGUGCCAGCAGCCGCGGUAAUAC